RNAcentral lists this ribosomal RNA (55 nucleotides) under Colletotrichum graminicola. RNAcentral describes it as "partial 28S ribosomal RNA". Lineage: Eukaryota; Fungi; Ascomycota; Sordariomycetes; Glomerellales; Glomerellaceae. The record is from RNAcentral.
ACUGGUUGACCUCGGAUCAGGUAGGAAUACCCGCUGAACUUAAGCAUAUCAAUAG